RNAcentral lists this ribosomal RNA (448 nucleotides) under uncultured bacterium. RNAcentral describes it as "bacterial SSU rRNA". It matches the Rfam family "Bacterial small subunit ribosomal RNA", at positions 329 to 794 of the family's 1533-position model. The record is from RNAcentral.
UUCCAGACUCCUACGGGAGGCAGCAGUGGGGAAUAUUGCACAAUGGGGGAAACCCUGAUGCAGCGACGCCGCGUGAGUGAGGAAGUAUUUCGGUAUGUAAAGCUCUAUCAGCAGGGAAGAAAAUGACGGUACCUGAUUAAGAAGCCCCGGCUAACUACGUGCCAGCAGCCGCGGUAAUACGUAGGGGGCAAGCGUUAUCCGGAUUUACUGGGUGUAAAGGGAGCGUAGACGGUGAUGCAAGUCAGAAGUGAAAGCCCGGGGCUCAACUCCGGGACUGCUUUUGAAACUGUGUGACUGGAGUGCAGGAGAGGUAAGCGGAAUUCCUGGUGUAGCGGUGAAAUGCGUAGAUAUCAGGAGGAACACCAGUGGCGAAGGCGGCUUACUGGACUGUAACUGACGUUGAGGCUCGAAAGCGUGGGGAGCAAACAGGAUUAGAUACCCGAGUAGA